GAUGAACGCUGGCGGCGUGCCUAAUACAUGCAAGUCGAGCGAACGGACGAGAAGCUUGCUUCUCUGAUGUUAGCGGCGGACGGGUGAGUAACACGUGGAUAACCUACCUAUAAGACUGGGAUAACUUCGGGAAACCGGAGUUAAUACCGGAUAUUAUUUUGAACCGCAUGGUUCAAAAGUGAAAGACGGUCUUGCUGUCACUUAUAGAUGGAUCCGCGCUGCAUUAGCUAGUUGGUAAGGUAACGGCUUACCAAGGCAACGAUGCAUAGCCGACCUGAGAGGGUGAUCGGCCACACUGGAACUGAGACACGGUCCAGACUCCUACGGGAGGCAGCAGUAGGGAAUCUUCCGCAAUGGGCGAAAGCCUGACGGAGCAACGCCGCGUGAGUGAUGAAGGUCUUCGGAUCGUAAAACUCUGUUAUUAGGGAAGAACAUAUGUGUAAGUAACUGUGCACAUCUUGACGGUACCUAAUCAGAAAGCCACGGCUAACUACGUG
RNAcentral lists this ribosomal RNA (497 nucleotides) under uncultured bacterium. RNAcentral's name for it is "partial 16S ribosomal RNA". It matches the Rfam family "Bacterial small subunit ribosomal RNA", at positions 28 to 507 of the family's 1533-position model. The record is from RNAcentral.